This 301-nucleotide ribosomal RNA is filed under the name uncultured bacterium. Its description in RNAcentral is "partial 16S ribosomal RNA". It matches the Rfam family "Bacterial small subunit ribosomal RNA", at positions 509 to 807 of the family's 1533-position model. The record is from RNAcentral.
CAGCAGCCGCGGGAAAACGUAGGGUGCGAGCGUUAAUCGGAAUUACUGGGCGUAAAGCGUGCGCAGGCGGUUCGUUAAGACAGAUGUGAAAUCCCCGGGCUUAACCUGGGAACUGCAUUUGUGACUGACGGGCUAGAGUAUGGCAGAGGGGGGUAGAAUUCCACGUGUAGCAGUGAAAUGCGUAGAUAUGCGGAGGAACACCGAUGGCGAAGGCAAUCCCCUGGGCCUGUACUGACGCUCAUGCACGAAAGCGUGGGGAGCAAACAGGAUUAGAUACCCCCGUAGUCCCUGUCUCUUAUAC